UGGUGUACAUUCGGGACACCCAUUCAUUACUGUAGCUUUAAGAAAUGCGUGCGGGAGUGUUGCAGUAUUGAACUUGUUCAGAGAUGUUUGGACAAGACCCUUCGAUAUAGGAUUCUUUAUCACAUUGACAGUUUCUCUGAAUAUUUAUGUUGGAAAGAUACUGGAUAGGCCAAUGCAUUCGUGUGAUCACCCCAGUACAGGACUCCCUUUUUAGAGACUGUCAAGCAGCGACAUGCACAUGUGAGAGGGUGGAGAGGAAAGGGCAGAUGCCGCACAAUGCGUGAGAGUGAUGCUUCUGGUGGAACCUUGCUCGGAUUCUUUUCCCGGUGGAGUUUCCCAGCGCUCAGAGCAUAAAAUAGAAGUCCAAUGAAUGUGCACGCGGGGACAUAGCACGAAAAACGGCUUAGAAGUGAUGGCAAACUGUCGAGACCCAUGGUUGCCAUGGGUGACAGUCCGUCAUGAGUAUAUUGGCCGGAAAGCCUACCAGAUCCCUCAUUCUACAGCUGUCAGGGACAUCAAGCAACUCAUCUAUGAAGAAACUGACCUGCC
Molecule: long non-coding RNA, 549 nt
Organism: Oncorhynchus tshawytscha (Chinook salmon)
Lineage: Eukaryota; Metazoa; Chordata; Actinopteri; Salmoniformes; Salmonidae
Source: Ensembl